GGGUGUUGCUUGCAUCUUCCCAAAGUAAUAAAUGGACAUAAUUCAUAAGUAAAACCAACAAAGGCCAGUGGUGGGAAUCAAAAGCAUUGAUGGAACUGUGCUCAGCCUGGGGGUUUUUAAUUAAUGUGAUUUAGCACCAGUAAAAUCCAAUAGAGAAGAUAAGUGCCAAAUCAUUCAUUUUCAGGGUUGCUUAAUAUUCUAUUUCCUUCUUUCUUGCUGCAAUUCACUUAUGUACUUUUUCACUGAUAGCACUCAGGCUAUUAAUUUCUUAAGGAGAAAGGGUGCGGAACAAUGAACGAAAUGAUCUGUUUAUUCUAGUUGCAUAGGAAGAUCAUGGUGCUUCACUUCUUGCUGGUGCCUUCCUUAAGGCCCAAAGCGUCUAGGCAAAGGGUUCAUGGUGAAUACAGAGAUAAAAGGAUGUCAGAACACUGAUUGGCUAGAAUGUAAAAAAAGAUACACAUUUUGGGGGGAAGUGACCAAAUUUAUCAAUUAUGUGGAGAAUGGACACUGGACAGAGCAAUGUAUUGUUCAGUGAUGUUGCUCUUGGGCCUUCUGAUUUAUUAAUUUAUCAUGUGUAUACAUAGAUAUAUACAUAUCUUAGCAUAUCAAUGCAGGAAGUAGUGAGCAAGUGGAGAAAAUAUAUCAAUAGACUUGUGGAGCAGUGAGCUUUCCGAGGUGUCUGAAUGCAAGAGUUUUGACUAAACUGUAACUCAGGGAAAUGUCAGAAAAAGAAAAUCCCCCUUAUUUCUGCUGUGAGGUAUGCUUCUUGCACAAGAUGAGCACAGUCAAUGACUUUGGCCCAUGCUCAUCCCUUCUUUGAAUUAUUUUAUUAUAAUGGGGCGAGCACAAGAACGAAUAAAGAUGGCCAAUUUUGCAAAAAUAGAAAAAGAAUACAAAGGAAAGAAGCAUUAUUACUCGUUGUUCCUUUCCAACCCUCAUAAUCCACAUAGAUGUGGUCUUCCUGGCCAUGGCCCUGAAGGACAUGUCCUGUGCUGUGAACCACGGUAUUGCUGUUUGGAUUGUGUUGAUAGCUGGCCACUGGUUUUAUUUAGACAAGAAAUAAAUUAUAUGUAUAAUAAUGAUUGUUUGAAUAAUUGUAUAAUUGAAAAAAGGCUAAGCAUGGACGAUUUCUGUGCCUGUGAUAAUCAGCUUUACUGAUCUAAUUCUGUCCAACAAAGGCCAUCCUCUUAAACAGGACCUGUCCAUUGUGUCUGUGAUCACAGCUAAUGUUUUGCUCCAGGGUCUCAACUUUCAUUUUGAUGCACCCUUAAAGUUGAGUAAAGGAAUGGGCUCACAUCUCAGACGAUUACUUAAAGGAUGUAGACCCGGGUCCAGUUAGGAGCAAGUUUUAUAAAACAAAAAUUUGAAUUGAAAAUUUUCAUUUUAUUCUUGUUGUGGAGUGGGUGAGCACACACCGUUGUGCGUGCCUGGAGGUCUGAGGACAGCUGUUUGGAAGUUGACGCUCUCCUUUUUAUGGUAGUAGAUCUCAGGCCCGUGGCUCUCUCAGCAAGUACUUCUACCCACUAGUCAUCUUGCCAGUGCAAAGAUCUGAUUGAUUUAGACUUAUUAGUGAUUGAUAAAAGCCCUGCAUCUUUAAGUGACCCAUGUUGGAUUAAAUCAUAUUAACUGCAAAUUUAAAUUCAUUUCUGGGCCUGGGCCUACACCACAUCUUUUUACUUUAUUUAUAUGUUGGUCCUUUAUGCCUUUGACACAAGUUAGCGAUAAACCACCUACGCCUAGGCUAUUGAAUGCAGAAGUACAAAAGUCCUUGAGUCCUUUCAGCACACAGGUGGAAGCCAGCGUCUCCACCUCCACAUCGGCUGUGGAGGAUGGAAGGUGUUUCUCCUCUGUGACACAUACACUCUACAAAGAAUGGAGCCCACAGACUUAAAAUCUUUUAAUGGGCUGACUCAUGAGGGAUUGGGCGACUAAUCCAAACUUGGUGACUCUUACAUUCCCGUUGUGAUGGGCUCCAAAAUAACUCUACUUCUUACACACUGACUCAUGUCCUCUUCAAUUUUUAAUACAACAGAAACUAAACUUCACCUCCCUGCUCGAGAGAAACAAAUGCAGUUAUUAAGACUGUGUGCUGCUGCCCACGGACACCUUAACCUCAUUUAUCUUUUUCAAGGGACCUGAUUGUGCGUUGCCGAGGGUCUACCCGGAAACAGGGCUCCGAGAGGCCCCAUGCUUCACGCAUUAGUUGGCUGGCUCGUCAUCUUUAUUCUGUCAGUAGCUUGUUCACUCCUUAAUUACAUCAAGUGGAUAGAUGCUUGCCUAUGAAUAAAAUAAAAGAAUGCAUAUAGGAGCAGCAGAGGGAAUCGCCCAGAGUUUGUAGUUAAUAAGAUUCAGCAUUCCUAACUCCGCUCAUCAUGGACGGCUUUUGUUUGUUCACAGAAUUUUUUAGUAUUAAGAUUUGUUUUGCAGCCUUAGUAGUUUGCACACUCAGCCAAUGAUGAAUGCCUGGACCAAGAACUCACUGAGGUGGGAGUGAGCAGAGUUAGGCAGCGCGAAUGUCCUUGCUGUAACCGAAUGGUCACAGACAGCUGAGUUACUCAGCUUUUCUAAGAAGCAAAACCUUAGCAGUUAGCUCCACGUCUAAAAAAACUAAGAGAAUAAUGAGCCCUGAUUUAAUUAUUUAAUAUGGAAUCAAUGUCCUGAGUAAGGAGCAUAGAUGAGAAUAAAGAACGAGCACAGCUGGUUUGGAUUCAUGGCUGCCUUCUGGAGAAGAUCUUGCCUGUUUAGCCCUGGAAAAGGAGGGAAGACACAGAUUGCUCAUCCCUAGAAGCAAUGGCUUCGGUCUACUUUAAACACUGGACCCCGCUCACAAACUCUAUACUUUUCCUCGGUAUUUACUUGAAGACCCCAAACCCUGUGUCCAUGGUUUUCCUAGCCUCAAGUUUAAAGAUCAAGGGAACUGAUAAUGGAUUCCGCCCCCAAGCGGAUUCUCACUCUCCUUUGCUCAUGAGCCUCAUAAUGAGCACGUUCAGACUGUAAUGCAGACACAGUAAUGAAUACCCUGCAAGCUGAUUUUAUACAGUGUCACUUGAAACUGAACCUCGUGAUCCAGCCUUUGUGUUCGCAGGAAAGACACCGUAAUGGCUGCCCUAAGCUGAUGUCUAAAUUCUUCCUUGGUUGUGAGAUUCCUGCUCUGGUCCUUGUAGUCCUAAGAUAGACACAGUUGCAUGUAGUCAGUGUUCAUGCCUUGAGUUUGGUCACUUUUAAAGACUACGCACACUAUUGUUGAAAUACUACUCGUCCUCGAAGACCGACUAUGUUCAAAUGAAUGGAGCCACCAGGCUGAUCCUUGGUCAUGAGCAAUAUAGACACAGUGAUGGAUUUCCCCCCAAAGAUGACUUACACCUUCUCCUUUUGUGGUGAUCUCCAUGGUCAGCUCUUUGGGUUCAUAAUAUAGACACAGUAACAGAUAUCCCAAAGCUGAUUUUAGACCUUCUUCCUUGGUCAUCAGCUUCUUGAACUACUGUUUGUGUUCAUAGCAUAGCUACAGUGAUGGAUUUCCACCCAAAGAUGAUUUACACCUUCUCCUUUGAUUAUGAUCUUCAUGGUCAGCUCUUUGGGUUCGUAAUAUAGACACAGUUUAAUCGCUCAACAAACACGCGUAAAUUAAUCAAGAAAAGGAGGGCUGAUGCUGGAUCUGUGAUGACCACUGGUGCCGUAUGAGUCGGGGAUCAUGACUACAGAAUGGAUAUCAUUAAGCUGAUUUUACGUUCUCCCUCGGUCAUGAAUUUUUUGAUUCGUAAUAUUGUCACAGUAAAUGAAGACCCUCAAGCUGAUUUCCACAUUCUUCCUUGGUUAUGAGGCUCGUGACCUGCUCUCUGUUCGUAUGAUAGACGAUGUAGUAGACGCCUUCAUCACUGCUCACCGGGGUCAUGCAUCAUAGGGACCAACCAUAGAUGCUUUCUGACUGAUGUUCCCAUUCUGGUCACCGAGUCCACAGUUACCCUACAUGUCAGGAAGACAGAGACCAAUAAAGGCCAGCUUCAGAGCAAUGGGUGAAUCCUGCCUGGUCCUCACCUCCAAGGUUGCCAGUGUUGUUAGGGUCACAGCUACAAUCGGAUCAGGGAACCCCAUGGAAGAGGAGGUGCAAAGAUUGUAAGAACCAAUGAGAAUGAAGGACACCAAGGAAACAAGGCCUUCUAGAUACAGCAGGACCGAUGCAGAUGUGAACUCAUAGAGACGGUGGCAGCAUGCAUGGGACCUGCCAGAUGGGGUCCCAGCGCUGAGAGGGAAAGGACAUAAGCCCCCAUCCCUAACUCAGAAGCUAUCUCCGAUCGAUAGAAUUCUCUCAGGAAAAACUCUUUUUCUCCAAUGGAAUCUCACUGGAUGCAUAGACUACACCUAAGAGCAGGCUCCAUGCUCAGAUGGCCAACACAAAAUGAACUCAAUGGCAUUUUUGGAAGAUCUUGUGUCAUGUAAUGAUUUGUCUGGGUAUUUUUUCUUACCCUAUAGACAUUUUACGUAUAUCUUGUGGUUUCUGAUUUUAGUUUUUAUGAGUUUUCUCUGUUUGUGAAUGUUUGGUCUCAGCACCUGUAUUUGUUUCUGGUGAUUUUAUGUAGGCUCUUUUUUUUUGCCUAUUCUGUUAGGUUUAUCUUAUUUUUCCUCCUCCUUAGUUUAGAUGCCUAUUUUCAUUGUAAUGAGAGAAUGAAAUAAUUAGUGUGAAUUUGGGUGGGUGUGUAAAUGGGGAGAAUAUGGGAGGUGUUGGGGAUGGGAAACCAUAAUACAAAUGUAUUGUAUGAAACAAGUAUGUUUUCAAUAAAAAGCAUUUCCUCUAUCA
Myodes glareolus (Bank vole) is the source of this 4795-nucleotide non-coding RNA. The record is from RefSeq and is a predicted model, not a curated record. Lineage: Eukaryota; Metazoa; Chordata; Mammalia; Rodentia; Cricetidae.